UACGGCUCAGUAACACGUGGAUAACCUGCCCUAAGGAAGGGGAUACCCUCGGGAAACUGAGGAUAAUACCCUAUAGGUUACCGAUGCUGGAAUGCUCGGUAACUCAAAGUUCCGGCGCCUUAGGAUGGAUCUGCGGCCGAUUAGGUAGUUGUUGGGGUAACGGCCCAACAAGCCCGUAAUCGGUACGGGUUGUGGGAGCAAGAGCCCGGAGUUGGAUUCUGAGACACGAAUCCAGGCCCUACGGGGCGCAGCAGGCGCGAAAACUUUACAAUGCGGGCAACCGUGAUAAGGGAACCUCGAGUGCCUGUACAUGCAGGCUGUCUGGGUGUCUAAAACACACCCAAAGAAAGGGCCGGGCAAGACCGGUGCCAGCCGCCGCGGUAAUACCGGCGGCUCGAGUGGUGGCCACUUUUAUUGGGCUUAAAGCGUUCGUAGCUGGGUUGUUAAGUCUCUUGGGAAAUCCGGCGGCUUAACCGUCGGGCGUCUAAGAGAUACUGGCAAUCUUGGAACCGGGAGAGGUGAGGGGUACUUCGGGGGUAGGAGUGAAAUCCUGUAAUCCUCGAGGGACCACCUGUGGCGAAGGCGCCUCACCAGAACGGCUUCGACAGUGAGAGACGAAAGCUGGGGGAGCAAACCGGAUUAGAUACCCGGGUAGUCCCAGCCGUAAACGAUGUGCGUUAGGUGUUUCGACGACCACGAGUCGUCGAGGUGCCGAAGGGAAACCGUGAAACGUACCGCCCUGGAAGU
This 747-nucleotide ribosomal RNA is filed under the name uncultured Methanoculleus sp. RNAcentral's name for it is "bacterial SSU rRNA". It matches the Rfam family "Archaeal small subunit ribosomal RNA", at positions 84 to 836 of the family's 1478-position model. Lineage: Archaea; Methanobacteriati; Methanobacteriota; Methanomicrobia; Methanomicrobiales; Methanomicrobiaceae. The record is from RNAcentral.